GAAAUAUUCUAAGUAAACUUCUAAUUUAUAAAUAGUGAUUUAAAUCAUUAAUAUUUCU
RNAcentral lists this transfer RNA (58 nucleotides) under Tinodes chinchinus. Its description in RNAcentral is "tRNA-Ser". Lineage: Eukaryota; Metazoa; Arthropoda; Insecta; Trichoptera; Psychomyiidae. The record is from RNAcentral.